CUCUCCCACGACGUUCAUAAUGUGAUUAAGGUGUUUACAUGUCUGUAAUACUCGUCCAUAAUGCGACUAAAACAGGAGUACUCCACCUGUCUUAAUUCGAUUAGAGCUUAAUUCGAGCUAUGCUGCGAAUUUCAAGACUCACACAGAUAGACAGGAGACUCUUGUAAAUGACUGUGUCGAAGGCUGCUGGAAGGUUGAGGAGAAUGAGGACUGAUGACAGUUUGCCGAUCAAGUUUCAUGAAGCUUCUCAAUAAUGGCCGCAAGGGCAGUUCCUGUGCUGUGUGCUGCUUUGAAGCCUGAUCGGUUAGAAUGUUGGAGUUUACAGAUCUUGUGUAGUCUAGAGGAAACUCCCAAAGAACGGGGAGAACAUAAACUCCGGACACAGUCUGGAAUCGAACCCGGAAUCCAACCGCGGAAGUGCAUGUUUGGAGAUUGUAUUUUAUAAUUUAUUGUACUGUAUGUAAAUUUAUAAUGUAAGUUUAUAAUUUAUUGUACUGUAUGUACAGUGCCAUCCACUAAUAUUGGCACCCUUGGUAAAUAUGAGCAAAGAAGGCUGUGAAAAAUUGUCUUUAUUGUUUGAACCUUUUGAUCUUUUGUUAAAAAAAUUUACAAAAAUACUCUGCUGUCAUGGAUAUCGAACGAUUGCAAAUAAGACACAGGUUUAUCCAGAAAUAUAUAUCUUUGUAAAAUAUAGUUGUGCAACAAUUAUUGGCACCAUUUUAAUCAAUACUUUGUGCUAGCUCCCUUUGCCAAGAUAACAGCUCUGAGUCUUCUCCUAUAAUACCUGAUGAGGUUGGAGAAUACAUGACAAGGGAUCUGAGACCAUUCCUCCAUACAGAAUCUCUCCAGAUCCUUCAAAUUUCGAGGUCCACACUGGUGGAUUCUCCUCUUCAGUUCACCCCACAGGUUUUCUAUAUGGUUUCAAGUCAGGGGACUGGGAUGGCCAUGGCAGGACCUUGAUUUGGUGGUCAGUAAACCAUUUUUGUGUUGAUUUUGAUGUAUGUUUUGGAUCAUUGUCUUGCUGGAAGAUCCAACCAUGGUGCAUUUUAAGCUUUCCGGCAGAGGCAAUCAGGUUUUCAUUUAAUAUCUAUUGAUAUUUGAUAGAGUCCAUGAUGCCAUGUAUCCUAACAAAUUGCCAGGUCCUCAUUAAAGAGCCACCACCAUAUUUAACCGUGGGCAUGAUGUACUUUUCCAUAUGGUUACCUCUCUGUGUGCGCCAAACACACCUCUGGUGACCAAAAAGACCAUAGAACCCGAUCCCAUUUGAAGUUCCAGUAGUGUCUGGCAAACUGAAUACACUUGAGUUGGUUUUUGGAUGAGAGUAGAGGCUUUUUUUCUUGAAACCCUUCCAAACAACUCGUGGUGAUGUAGAUGACCCUUUGUUAUGAAUGAGUAAGGGAAUUUGGUCUAUGUGAUACCUCAUAUUUAUACCCUUAUGAAACAGGAAGUCAUGGUUUAACAAUUUCCCAUUCCUAGUCGCCCUGGUGUACUAAACUUUUUUUUAAAUAUCACUGGAAAUAUACUUCAAAUAUAUUUUUCUCAUAUGAAUUCAUAGGGGUGCCAAUAAUUGUUGUACACCUACAUUUAACAAAGAUUUUUUUUGAUAAACCUGUUUUGUUUGCAGUUGUUUGAUAUCCAUGAGAGCAGAAUAUUUUAUGAUUUAUUUUUUAACAAAAGAUCGAAAUGUUAAACAAUAAAGAAAAUUUUUCACAGCCUUUUUUGCUCAUAUUUACCAAAUAUUAGUGGAGGGCACUGUAGUAUGUGAACUGCCCUUAUUUUAACACAAUCCUAAUCGCUAAUGUGUUUUUGCCUUAAGCAUACAGCACCAUCUGCUGGACAUAACUACAGAAAACACUGCAUAGAGCAACUCAGAUUCUGAGUCCAGUAACAGUCCACUGUUGAUUUAGUUUUCUACUCUAACACCAGCACAUAUUUUAGAGCAGGAAAGACUCAGUUGUGUUGUACCCUCUCACUUAAACUAUACACCUGUUCCUCUUCUUUGCAAAAAGACAUAAAGUUUGUGAUUUUAUUUGUUAAAAUUAAAAGGUGUGUUCCCUUCAGGAGGUCAUCUGACCAAUCACAUGAACCUCAGUGACCUCAGAUUGAACUGAACUGAAGUGUACUCAGCUGAGUGGUUAAAUUACUAUUCUUUUUUGGUUUUGGUUUCUUGUAAUAUACCUCCCACCCCACCCUUUAAUUGUUGUUGCUGUUAUUUUCUGUUUAUAUGGUCAGGUGAUAAAUCCAGAUUAGGUUUAAGAAUGCGUCUUCAGUUAAAAUCAAAACAUAAAAUCAUUAUGUUUUAUUCAGCAGGAGAAAUUCAAUCUAUUCUCAAGUCAGUCACUAGCUUUAGGGUGGUACAUGAUAAACAUUUAUGAUGAAGGGUGUUACUUUCUGAUGUCUGAGGUUUUUAGGUCAGUGAGUGUAAUAUGUGUAUACAAAACCACAUGACGCAACAGCGAUGCAGAUUGGACACACACACACACACACACACGCACACACACUCACAAUGUGUAUAGUACAACACAAAUACACUUGUUCUAAUAAAAUAAUAAAAU
Molecule: long non-coding RNA, 2555 nt
Organism: Ictalurus punctatus (channel catfish)
Lineage: Eukaryota; Metazoa; Chordata; Actinopteri; Siluriformes; Ictaluridae
Source: Ensembl